UCAAUCCCAGUUCAUCCCAGUGACCUCCCAGUUCAUCCCAGUUCAAUCCCAGUGUGGCUACGAGGAUUACCUGCAGAGCCCGCUGCAGCCCCUGAUGGACAACCUGGAAUCCCAAACCUACGAGGUCUUCGAGAAGGAUCCCAUCAAGUACUGCCAGUACCAGCAGGCUAUUUACAAGUGUCUCCAGGACCGGGUCCCUGAAGGGGAGCGAGAGACGAACGUGG
Non-coding RNA from Cyanistes caeruleus (blue tit), 224 nucleotides. NCBI's taxonomy places the organism in Eukaryota, Metazoa, Chordata, Aves, Passeriformes, Paridae. The record is from RefSeq and is a predicted model, not a curated record.